This 483-nucleotide ribosomal RNA is filed under the name uncultured bacterium. RNAcentral describes it as "bacterial SSU rRNA". It matches the Rfam family "Bacterial small subunit ribosomal RNA", at positions 28 to 507 of the family's 1533-position model. The record is from RNAcentral.
GAUGAACGCUAGCGGCAGGCUUAAUACAUGCAAGUCGAACGGCAAGGACUUUCGGGUCCCUAGAGUGGCGCACGGGUGAGUAACACGUACACAACAUACCCUAUAUUGGAGGAUAGCCUUGGGAAACUGGGGGUAAUAUUCCAUAGUAUUUAUUGGAGGCAUCUCUGAUAAAUUAAAGAGCAAUCGAUAUAGGAUUGGUGUGCGUCCCAUUAGCUAGUUGGUGAGGUAAAGGCUCACCAAGGCGACGAUCUGUAGCGGGUCUGAGAGGAUGAUCCGCCACACUGGAACUGAGACACGGUCCAGACUCCUACGGGAGGCAGCAGUGGGGAAUUUUGGACAAUGGGGGCAACCCUGAUCCAGCCAUGCCGCGUGAGUGAAGAAGGCCCUCGGGUUGUAAAGCUCUUUUGUCCGGAAAGAAAAGCGCCGGGUUAAUACCCUAGUGUCCUGACGGUACCGGAAGAAUAAGCACCGGCUAACUUCGUG